RNAcentral lists this ribosomal RNA (121 nucleotides) under Petromyzon marinus (sea lamprey). Lineage: Eukaryota; Metazoa; Chordata; Hyperoartia; Petromyzontiformes; Petromyzontidae. The record is from RNAcentral.
UCAAAUGAGAAACUCACACGGAAGGUUCCCGACCUCCUCAGAUCUUGGAAGCUAAGCGGGGAUGAGCCUGGAUAGUGCUUGGAUGUGCGACCACCGUGCAUAGCACAGGUCGCCAUAGGUG